RNAcentral lists this ribosomal RNA (1382 nucleotides) under metagenome. RNAcentral describes it as "SSU rRNA". It matches the Rfam family "Eukaryotic small subunit ribosomal RNA", at positions 395 to 1801 of the family's 1831-position model. The record is from RNAcentral.
CGUGAGAAAUGGCUACCACAUCUACGGAAGGCAGCAGGCGCGCAAAUUACCCACUCCUAGAUCGGGGAGGUAGUGACGAAAAAUAACAAUACCGGACUCAAUGAGGCUCGGUAAUUGAAAUGAGUACAGUUUAAAACCCUUAACGAGGAUCUAUUGGAGGGCAAGUCUGGUGCCAGCAGCCGCGGUAAUUCCAGCUCCAAUAGCGUAUAUUAAAGUUGUUGCAGUUAAAAAGCUCGUAGUUGGAUCUCGGGUACUAGCAUGUGGUACGCUUAAUUGCUGUUACUACAUGUCUGGUCCUAAUCAACCGGUUGGCCGUUGAUGCCCUUUAUUGGGUGUUUUCGGUAGCCGGUACGUUUACUUUGAGAAAAUUAGAGUGCUUAAAGCAGGCCAUACGCCUGAAUAAUGUUGCAUGGAAUAAUAGAAUAGGACCUCGGUUCUAUUUUGUUGGUUUUGUAGAGCAUUGAGGUAAUGAUUAAUAGGGACAGACGGGGGCAUUCGUAUUGCGGUGUUAGAGGUGAAAUUCUUGGAUCGCCGCAAGACGAACAACUGCGAAAGCAUUUGCCAAGAAUGUUUUCAUUAAUCAAGAACGAAAGUUGGAGGUUCGAAGACGAUUAGAUACCGUCCUAGUUCCAACCAUAAACGAUGCCAACUAGCGAUUAGCUGCUGUUAAUUAAACGACACAGCUAGCAGCUUCCGGGAAACCAAAGUUUUUGGGUUCCGGGGGAAGUAUGGUUGCAAAGCUGAAACUUAAAGGAAUUGACGGAAGGGCACCACCAGGAGUGGAGCCUGCGGCUUAAUUUGACUCAACACGGGAAAUCUCACCCGGCCCGGACACUGUAAGGAUUGACAGAUUGAGAGCUCUUUCUUGAUUCGGUGGGUGGUGGUGCAUGGCCGUUCUUAGUUGGUGGAGCGAUUUGUCUGGUUAAUUCCGAUAACGAACGAGACUCUAGCCUGCUAAAUAGUACGCCGAUCAUUAGUCGGCGCGUACUUCUUAGAGGGACAAGUAGCGGUAAGCUACACGAAAUUGAGCAAUAACAGGUCUGUGAUGCCCUUAGAUGUUCGGGGCCGCACGCGCGCUACACUGAAGGGAUAAGCGUGUUUUUCCUGCUCCGAAAGGAGUGGGUAACCCGCUGAAACCCCUUCGUGAUUGGGAUCGGGGCUUGAAAUUAUUCUCCGUGAACGAGGAAUUCCCAGUAAGCGCGAGUCAUAAGCUCGCGUUGAUUACGUCCCUGCCCUUUGUACACACCGCCCGUCGCUACUACCGAUUGAAUGGUUUAGUGAGAUCUUCGGAUUGGUCCGGAAGUGGCCGCAAGGUCGCCUCUAGGUUCUGAGAAGAUGAUCAAACUUGAUCAUUUAGAGGAAGUAAAAGUCGUAACAAGGUU